GAGCCCGUAGCUCAGUUGGUAGAGCACUUGACUUUUAAUCAGGGUGUCCCGGGUUCGAGCCCCGGCGGGCUCACCA
RNAcentral lists this transfer RNA (76 nucleotides) under Pseudomonadota bacterium. RNAcentral's name for it is "tRNA-Lys". It matches the Rfam family "tRNA". Rfam says of the family: Transfer RNA (tRNA) molecules are approximately 80 nucleotides in length. RNAcentral also lists the same sequence under 3 other names. The record is from RNAcentral. Lineage: Bacteria; Pseudomonadati; Pseudomonadota.